This 253-nucleotide ribosomal RNA is filed under the name uncultured bacterium. Its description in RNAcentral is "partial 16S ribosomal RNA". It matches the Rfam family "Bacterial small subunit ribosomal RNA", at positions 524 to 776 of the family's 1533-position model. The record is from RNAcentral.
UACAGAGGUGGCAAGCGUUGUUCGGAAUUACUGGGCGUAAAGGGCGCGUAGGCGGCCCGUCAAGUCCCGUGUGAAAGCCCCCGGCUCAACCUGGGAACUGCAUCCGAGACUGCAUUGCUAGAGUAUGGGAGAGGGAAGCGGAAUUUCUGGUGUAGCAGUGAAAUGCGUAGAUAUCAGAAGGAACAUCAGUGGCGAAGGCGGCUUCCUGGACCAAUACUGACGAUCAGGUGCGAAAGCGUGGGGAGCAAACAGG